Molecule: long non-coding RNA, 768 nt
Organism: Bubalus bubalis (water buffalo)
Lineage: Eukaryota; Metazoa; Chordata; Mammalia; Artiodactyla; Bovidae
Exons: 2
Source: RefSeq, a predicted model, not a curated record
CAGUAAAAGGCAGUUUAACACAAGUCCAAGAGAGUGCAAUCUGCAGCAAGGCUACUUGAACCCAAAUUUGGAAUGACCCUGUGUGCUGGAAUAUCUGUGCUGGACUCCUGGAUUUGCACAAAGAAUCUCUUGUCUUUGUUCAUCAAUGUUCUUUAGUGGGAAGAUGGUAGGAAACUCGGUUCUGCCAUGAUGAUGACAUCACUCUUCAUUACUAAAAGAGAUUAAAGCUAAGGCCUGGAAAACUUUGAGAACCAAUUGACUAACUACAGGAGAGAAGUGUAUGUUACCAGAAGUUAAACAAUUAGUGGAAGCCUUGACUAGGAUGCUCCCACCUGAGGCAUAAGAGUACAGGAAAUUUCCUUAUUAAAAAAAAAUGGAUUUUGUUUAUAUUUUCAUUGGGCAUAAAUUUACCACCAUUUCAAAAAUGAAUAACUUUUCAAUGUCUGGUUGGCUUUAGUUCUCUUAGAGUCUUUUCUGUGUUGGUUACAUUUCUAAGCACUCAAUAUUACUAUUAAUAAAAGUAGUUGACUCCUAUUGAAUGUUCACUAUGUACUACGUAUUUUGCUAAGCAAUUUUCAAGACUUUUUCACAGCCCAGACUCCUGAACAGAAACUCAAGCAUGUGUUUCAGCCUAUUGGACAUCUUAGCUUGGUUAUUUUUAAGGCCUCUUAUUAUCUUUAACUCCAAACUUUUUCUUCUUCUGUGUUUUCUGGGUUAGUAAAUUUCAUCCUUAUCCAUUUAGCUCCUCAAUCUUGGAUCUAGACAUUA